AUGGAGAUGCGCAAAUAUUUGAAGAUGCUCGAAUGUGAGGAGGAGGAGGAGGAGGGGAAGAUGACCCCGGAGGAUUUAGCGAUGGCUGACCAAUUUGAGAAGGAGCUAUUAGAGAUGGAAGCCAACUUUCUCAAAGUCCAGGAGCAGGAUGAUAAGGACACGCCAAACUGGAUCUCUGUCUCACAUCAGGAUGAGGCAGAGGAGAUGGAGUUGGAGGACAGGUCGUUUGCUAGACGCCGUAAGGGCUGGGAAUCUGCAUGGGGAGACCGCAGUGACUUCGAAGACUUGACCUUAUUGAGUCCUAUGCACUUUACACAUUGCACGCUGGGACUGAUCCCCUACACUGCUAGCACUGUGAGCGCCUUGCAGAUCUACUCUGUCAAGAUUGUUGAAACAAAGGGAAAGUUGAAGUGGCCACUCUAUGUCUAUAGGGUCGUCGCUGCCCGAGAUGCCGUAGAUCACAACCGUAACAUUCUCUUCUCUCGGCAAAGGGAAGACUACCAAGAACUCACUCUAGAGGAUCCUUUUUUGCACCUGACUGGCCCGUCUCGUGCGAUUGUGGCUGUGGACAAUGUUGACUUCGAAAUCCAACUCAAAGUAAAGGGCACAACAUGGUCUGGUGACAAAGCAUUGAUCAGUCACUUCCAGACCUACCCCGGUGAUCGUGAAGGUUUAGAUACAGCGCUCUUUAGCAACUCCUUUUGCACGAUAGAGUUAUGUUUUGAGCGACUUACAGAAACCGUCCAGGCUACUAUCUUGAGUGUCUGUGUUGUUGAAGGGUGGCCAUCACCUUUUGAAUACGGCGGCCGGAUUAUGUGCUCCUCACCACCACAGGAAGUUAAGGACCCCCUAUCCAGGCAUGUUGUGUUGGUUGAUUCUCAUGAUUUUGAUGGAGAAAUGCCAAUGGGCUCAGCUGGUUACGUUGAUCUGUCAAGGCAUGUUGUUUCUGUAGAACUGGGACAUAACCUGCAAUUUGUCAUACAAGCUUACUCACAGUCUGGUGCCAUUGCUAGGCAAAGCCGUCUCACGUUUAGGACCAAAUAUUGCAACAUAAGUCGAGGUAUAUGUGAGAUUGGUGACUCUAAGGUGGAGAUUACUGUUGCUUGGUCCCAGCUUAUCAAGAGCAAGAUGGAAAUCCUCUAA
This 1143-nucleotide ribosomal RNA is filed under the name Triticum aestivum (bread wheat). RNAcentral describes it as "partial small subunit ribosomal RNA". Lineage: Eukaryota; Viridiplantae; Streptophyta; Magnoliopsida; Poales; Poaceae. The record is from RNAcentral.